AAGGCUUGACAUAUACGAGAACGGGCUAGAAAUAGUCAACUCUUUGGACACUCGUAAACAGGUGGUGCAUGGUUGUCGUCAGCUCGUGUCGUGAGAUGUUGGGUUAAGUCCCGCAACGAGCGCAACCCUCGUUCUAUGUUGCCAGCACGUAAUGGUGGGAACUCAUGGGAUACUGCCGGGGUCAACUCGGAGGAAGGUGGGGAUGACGUCAAAUCAUCAUGCCCCUUAUGUCUUGGG
Molecule: ribosomal RNA, 237 nt
Filed under: uncultured bacterium
Lineage: Bacteria
Description: partial 16S ribosomal RNA
Rfam family: Bacterial small subunit ribosomal RNA
Source: RNAcentral